UGAGGAAUAUUGGUCAAUGGACGCAAGUCUGAACCAGCCAAGUAGCGUGCAGGAUGACGGCCCUAUGGGUUGUAAACUGCUUUUAUAUGGGGAUAAAGUGGGGAACGUGUUCCUUUUUGCAGGUACCAUAUGUAUAAGGACCGGCUAAUUCCGUGCCAGCAGCCGCGGUAAUACGGAAGGUCCAGGCGUUAUCCGGAUUUAUUGGGUGUAAAGGGAGCGUAGGCUGUUUGUUAAGCGUGUUGUGAAAUGUAAGAGCUCAAGUUUUAGAUUGCAGCGAGAGCUGGCAGACGUGAGUGCGGACGACGUAGGCGAAAUUCAUGGUGUAGCGGUGAAAUGCUUAGAUAUCAUGACGAACUCCGAUUGCGAAGGCAGCUUACGGGAGCGCAACUGACGAUAAAGCUCGAAGGUGCAGGUAUCGAACAGG
Molecule: ribosomal RNA, 424 nt
Filed under: Verrucomicrobiota bacterium
Lineage: Bacteria; Pseudomonadati; Verrucomicrobiota
Description: Verrucomicrobia bacterium partial 16S ribosomal RNA
Rfam family: Bacterial small subunit ribosomal RNA
Source: RNAcentral